AUGACAGAGUCUUGUGAGGUGCCGGGGGAGGGUGAGGCAGGAGCAGGGAGGCCCCCACACCUCCCCUCACUGCCCAGCCACUGCCCCGAGCCUUCCCCGGGACACAACCAUUGUGAUUCUGCUUUGGCAAAAAUGCAUCGGCUGGUAGAAGUCACUGUUAGUGCAUAUUUCGAUAUAAAUGUCAAUGUUUCACCCACCGUGUCGCAGCCUGUGUGUGUGUGUCUGUGCCCAGAUGUCUCCUGCCCUGUCUCGGUCACUCCUGGAGCUCCCCAUGGGGCCGGGCAGGUGCUGCCAAACCUCCCACUGCGGGUCCUUUCCAGCUCUGGGAGUUGUGCUCAGCCAGAUCUUGCUCCUCGUUUAAUUCCUGCUUUUCCCCACUCCAUUUGGGGCUGGUUUUGUCUGUUUUUCCUCCUUUCCCCGUGCAGAUCUGGGUGCUGCACCCAAACCUGUGAGCACGGUGCUGCAGGUGAAGGGGACUGGUUUGUUCUGGCCCUCGACAGGACAUCGGCUUGUAUUGGAUUCCCGAGCGAUUUCUCCCUAAUGGCCCUGGAACAAGCAGGGAAUGCACAUCCCCACGCAAUCCCGCUCACAGCCUUCCUGCAAGAGGCGACUCGAGUUCCAUCAGAGCCGAGGAGUCGGCCGGAAUUCUGCUUCUCUUCCCGCAUGUCUGUCCCUGGGGUUGUCCCAUCUGCCGCCAGGGCCACCACCUGCACCUGGAAACAAUGGGCAGACUGUCCAAACUGUGGCAUCCUCGGGGACAGGAGGGCCCGGAGAAAUAAAGUGCACAAUAGCAGCAGUGCCUUGUGUCGUGGCGUUUGUCCCGUGGAGCAGAGCAGGAAAGCGGCGGCAGCGGUCCUGGAUGUCAGAGCCAGCCCGGGAAAGUGGCUCCGAGUGAGGGGAUUUGAAAUCAAAACCCCCAGUUGCAGACAAAUAAAAUGUGAUAGAAAGGCCACAGGGCUGGAAGCAGGAGGCUUGGCAACAGCUGGGAUGGGGGGGAUGUUUUAG
RNAcentral lists this long non-coding RNA (1005 nucleotides) under Cyanistes caeruleus (blue tit). RNAcentral describes it as "lncRNA (ENSCCEG00000000922.1)". The record is from RNAcentral. Lineage: Eukaryota; Metazoa; Chordata; Aves; Passeriformes; Paridae.